AGGAGAAUGCAAGUAACAUCAAACUGUAUUGUCCUGAUUUGAGCUAUAUCAAAAAUUGCCAGAGGGAGGCACUGGUGUGUUUCAGAGCUGAACUAAACGUCCUGGAUUUUGAAUAUGAUGGAACUUCGAAGCAGGGAGUCACUGAAUCCAUAUCCAAAUUAAAACAAUCUUUCGAUUCGUAUCUCUCUCAUCUGGUAAGUUUGACUGUGAAGUCCUGCCCUCCUACACAAUUGUUAAAUUGCUGAAACCACAGCCAAUUGAGAUAACAAAGUGUAGAGCUGGAUGAACACAGCAGGCCAAGCAGCAUCAGAGGAGCAAGAAGGCUGACGUUUCGGGCCUAGACCCUUCUUCAGAAUUGCUUGUUUAUAAGUGACGGCUGUGGACCACCCUAAAAGGGAUAUGACUCACAUAUCAUGACCUUCAUUGCAAAGAAUACAUCAAAAAGCUGCCAUCAUUGUGAGUUCUAUGAAGAGAAACCUCUGACCGAGUUUCUAGCCAGUUUGAUGACAUUUAUGCAGUUUCACAACAAAAACCCUCAUCAUAACUACAGUGAGUGACAUUCCAAAGGUCCCUCACCAGCUGUAAAGGACUGAGGAGCAUGUUGAGGUGGUGAAAGUUGCUAUGGAAACGGAACCCCUUUUUGCCCAUGAUAUCUCCGAAUGGAUUUAAAGAGAAUGGGUUUCCUGUAGACGACGGAGAGAAAGAACAUUCUGGAAAAGAGAUGCUGUUGUUGUUGACGAUGGCUCUGACACGUAAAUAUUGACAGCUGGCAACUUCGAUUAAGAUGAGCGCAGAUGAUCCCCAACAUGGUGGCUGUGGAAUAAGGUGAGCAGCCAAUUCAAUCAAAUAGUUAAAAGCAUGUAUUUACAGUCACGUUCCUCCUAUUCCUGCCUGUUUCUCCGGAGCGUCUGGCCUGAUCUCGUUAGUUCCCUCCAUUGUGAGUUGGAGCCAUUCUCUACAAUACGCUUCCAGAAGCUCAGUGCCAAAUAGGAUAAAGACCAUAAGGCACAGGAAUAGCUAACCAUUCGGCCCAUCGAGUCUGCUUCACCAUUCAAUCAUGAAUGAUAUAGUUCUCAACCCCAUUCU
Long non-coding RNA from Rhincodon typus (whale shark), 1086 nucleotides. RefSeq lists it as uncharacterized. The record is from RefSeq and is a predicted model, not a curated record. NCBI's taxonomy places the organism in Eukaryota, Metazoa, Chordata, Chondrichthyes, Orectolobiformes, Rhincodontidae. The transcript is spliced from 4 exons.